UACGUAGGGGGGCAAGCGUUGUCCGGAAUCAUUGGGCGUAAAGAGCGUGUAGGCGGCCCGAUAAGUCCGCUGUGAAAGUCCAGGGCUCAACCCUGGAAUGCCGGUGGAUACUGUCGGGCUCGAGUUCGGAAGAGGUGAGUGGGAAUUCCUGGUGUAGCGGUGAAAUGCGCAGAUAUCAGGAGGAACACCAAUGGCGAAGGCAGCUCGCUGGGACGGUACUGACGCUGAGACGCGAAAGCGUGGGGAGCAAACAGG
Molecule: ribosomal RNA, 255 nt
Filed under: uncultured bacterium
Lineage: Bacteria
Description: partial 16S ribosomal RNA
Rfam family: Bacterial small subunit ribosomal RNA
Source: RNAcentral